UGAAUACGAGAUGCUACGGCGUCGAAGCAGUCUAUGUCAGACUUCCAAGAAAAGCUUGCACUGUCAAAAACAAAUAAUGCCUGUACCAUAACCGACACAGGUGGGUAGGUAGAGUAUACUAAGGGGCGCGAGAUAACUCUCUCUAAGGAACUCGGCAAAAUGACUCCGUAACUUCGGGAGAAGGAGUGCCUUAUUUUUAAGGUUGCAAUAACAAGAUCCAAGCAACUGUUUACCAAAAACACAGGUCUCCGCGAAGUCGUAAGACGAUGUAUGGGGGCUGACGCCUGCCCAGUGCCAGAAGGUUAAAGAAGUUGGUUAGCAUUCGCGAAGCUGAUAACUGAAGCCCUGGUGAACGGCGGCCGUAACAAUAACGGUCCUAAGGUAGCGAAAUUCCUUGUCGGGUAAGUUCCGACCCGCACGAAAGGCGUAAUGAUUUGGAUACUGUCUCGGAGAGGGGCUCGGUGAAAUAGACUUGUCUGUGAAGAUGCGGGCUACCUGCACCUGGACAGAAAGACCCUAUGAAGCUUUACUGUAACUUGAAAUUGAAAUUGGACUUUAUUUGCGCAGUAUAGGUGGGAGGCCUUGAGAAGAAUCUUGCGGGACUCUUGGAGCCAUCAGUGAGAUACCACUCUUGUAAUGUUAGAUUUCUAACUUUGUAUCAUUCUCUGGUCAAAGAACAGUUUCAGGCGGGCAGUUUGACUGGGGCGGUCGCCUCCCAAACGGUAACGGAGGCGCACAAAGGUUUCCUCUGAACGGGUAGAAAUCGUAUCUAGAGUGUAAAGGCAUAAGGAAGCUUGACUGUGAGACCUACAAGUCGAGCAGGGACGAAAGUCGGUCUUAGUGAUCUGACGGUGCUGAGUGGAAAGGCCGUCACUCAACGGAUAAAAGUUACUCUAGGAUAACAGGCUGAUCUCCCCCAAGAGUUUACAUCGACGGGGAGGUUUGGCACCUCGAUGUCGGCUCAUCGCAUCCUGGGGCGGUAGUACGUCCCAAGGGUUGGGCUGUUCGCCCAUGAAAGCGGUACGCGAGCUGGGUUCAGAACGUCGUGAGACAGUUCGGUCCAUAUCCGGUGUAGGCGUUAGAAUAUUGAGAGGAGCCUUCUCUAGUACGAGAGGACCGAGAAGGACAUACCUCUGGUGUACCAGUUAUCGUGCCAACGGUAAACGCUGGGUAGCUAUGUAUGGAGUGGAUAACCGCUGAAAGCAUCUAAGUGGGAAGCCCACCUCAAGAUAAG
RNAcentral lists this ribosomal RNA (1234 nucleotides) under metagenome. RNAcentral's name for it is "bacterial LSU rRNA". It matches the Rfam family "Bacterial large subunit ribosomal RNA", at positions 1564 to 2808 of the family's 2925-position model. The record is from RNAcentral.